GCCGAGAUGGUGGAAUGGUAGACACCGGGGACUUAAAAUCCCCUCCCUGUAAAGGGGUACGGGUUCAACUCCCGUUCUCGGCA
This 83-nucleotide transfer RNA is filed under the name Treponema sp. RNAcentral's name for it is "tRNA-Leu". It matches the Rfam family "tRNA". From Rfam's summary of the family: Transfer RNA (tRNA) molecules are approximately 80 nucleotides in length. Their secondary structure includes four short double-helical elements and three loops (D, anti-codon, and T loops). Further hydrogen bonds mediate the characteristic L-shaped molecular structure. tRNAs have two regions of fundamental functional importance: the anti-codon, which is responsible for specific mRNA codon recognition, and the 3' end, to which the tRNAs corresponding amino acid is attached (by aminoacyl-tRNA synthetases). tRNAs cope with the degeneracy of the genetic code in two manners: having more than one tRNA (with a specific anti-codon) for a particular amino acid; and 'wobble' base-pairing, i.e. permitting non-standard base-pairing at the 3rd anti-codon position. The record is from RNAcentral. Lineage: Bacteria; Pseudomonadati; Spirochaetota; Spirochaetia; Treponematales; Treponemataceae.